This 253-nucleotide ribosomal RNA is filed under the name uncultured Eubacteriales bacterium. RNAcentral describes it as "uncultured Clostridiales bacterium partial 16S ribosomal RNA". It matches the Rfam family "Bacterial small subunit ribosomal RNA", at positions 524 to 776 of the family's 1533-position model. Lineage: Bacteria; Bacillati; Bacillota; Clostridia; Eubacteriales. The record is from RNAcentral.
UACGUAGGGGGCAAGCGUUAUCCGGAUUUACUGGGUGUAAAGGGAGCGUAGACGGCAGCGCAAGUCUGGAGUGAAAUCCCAUGGCUUAACCAUGGAACUGCUUUGGAAACUGUGCAGCUGGAGUACAGGAGGGGUAAACGGAAUUUCUAGUGUAGCGGUGAAAUGCGUAGAUAUUAGGAAGAACACCGGAGGCGAAGGCGGUUUACUGGACUGCAACUGACACUGAGGCUCGAAAGCGUGGGGAGCAAACAGG